This 1878-nucleotide long non-coding RNA is filed under the name Equus asinus (donkey). RNAcentral's name for it is "lncRNA (ENSEASG00005033632.1)". Lineage: Eukaryota; Metazoa; Chordata; Mammalia; Perissodactyla; Equidae. The record is from RNAcentral.
CCGCCAUCUCCCAUGCUAAGCCUUAACGGUCUGAUAUGAGUCUCACGUCUCCAGGCAAUACUGACAUGGCCUCACACAGCUUCUCCAGGACUUGUAUACAGUAAAACUUCGUAGCAGUAAGUGGUCCUCCAUGGCACCAGAGCUGCCUCAGGUUGCCAGAACCCUCCUAUUCCACAACAAACUGAACUGAAACACCAUGGAAUAUUCCACUCGGAACCCAAACCAGCACCUGGCAACCAGGUGAGAAAAUCAGUGGGGUGACUGUGGGGGAGGAUAGACAGUGCUUCCCAAAUGUCUUCAUGUCAUAUCACACAGAAGGUGGCUGCUCUUGGCCAGAGGACACUGGUCACUAGGAGUGUGUCUAUCCUAGCUCCUGCUCAGCAAGCACAAAGUCUGAGAGAUAGAUGUUUUUAAGUACGUGUGCUAUUUGAGGACCACUGACAAAGACUCUCAAAAAAAUAAUGUAAGUGACUCAAAUAAAGCUUAAAGGCUUUAUUCAGCUGAUGCACAUCAGGGACCACUUGAAUACCAGAAGACUCCCUGAUUGACACAGAAAAGUUGACUAUGUAUCCUUGUGUUUUUGGCUUAUGUAGCAGUUUUCUACCUUAACCCAAAAUUGCUGUUGACAGUUAUUUCUGGUUCCAUGCCUCCUUCAUGCUAAUCACCAUCAGAAUGAUAUUUUCUGAGAACUGUGUUUGCAAGCAUUGAGGUUCAUCGGCUAGUCGAAGUUCAUGAGUGGGGGAGCUCUCAAGUGUGGUUGUAGAAGAAUGAAGAGUCUCAUUCUUGCUAUCAGUAACUCAUCAACUUGAAUUUCAAAUGCAACAAUUCAAGGAGAAACAAAUGGAAUUUGAAAGUCUUCAAAUAUCAAGGAUUUAUAGUCAUGCCAUAAUGGUCCCCAUCUCCAUACUCAGUCACUGAUCUUCAUGUUGCUCCAUUCUCAAGCAUAAUACAAAAACUGCUAUUUCCUGGCAGACUAAGGGCAUAGAAUAUCAUAACUAGUCAAAUAUUCAGUUAACAAUGAGUUACCAUAACUAGAAUCACCAUCUCGUUUUUGUCUGCUUGUAAAUAUCCAUUAGGAGAAUUGCUCCUGACUAAGGAACCUUGAUCACAUGGCUGGUCAUGUGACCCAAACCCCUAAUUGGAACUUUGUUAUCUGUCCAUGAUUUUCCUGAAAGAUGCUGUUUUCCCUCUGCCCACCUCCUCUUCUCUCCCAUUGCAGCUGGGUCCAUGCCAAUACAGAAGUUAAGGUGUGUGUGUUAAGGGUGGAAGUGAGUAGCUGGGCUGAGAAGCUGGUAUCUAUCUAAAGGCUUCUAUGUCUAAAAUGAACAAAGUAGAUCUCUUACAUCCCUGGUCUGGGUGACUCAUGAUCACUCUUCUGCUGUUACCAAUACUAUCAACUGCUCUUGAUCUUAACGUCUACAGAUCCAAGUCUGCAGGUCAGCAGAAAGGAAAGCCCCCCAUCUUCCUCAAAUCAUUCAAAAUCUUCAGAUCCUGGGGAAGUUUUGCAUUCGAACAUCAGAUAGAAAGAGAAAGUUAAAAGUAUGUUAUAGUAAUAGAUCCUAGUUUUCUGCUGCCUUUGCUCCUGUCAUUGCCACAUUGUAUCACUAUUAGAAAUGAGCAUCAGAAUAAAUGGACAAAAAAAAUCAAUGGAAUAGAACAGAAAGUCCAGAAAUAGACCCAAGUCCAUUUGGAAAUGUCCUUUUAAUAAAAGUGUUAUCUCAAAUUACUGGAACAAAAAUGUAUUUUUUCCUUUUUUCUUUUGAAGAAGAUGAGCCCUGAGCUAACAUCCACAGCCAAUCCUCCUCUUUUUACUGAGGAAGAUUGGCCCUGAGCUAACAUGUGUGCCCAUCUUCCUCUAUUUUAUAUGUGGGAUGCCUG